Molecule: long non-coding RNA, 1926 nt
Organism: Betta splendens (Siamese fighting fish)
Lineage: Eukaryota; Metazoa; Chordata; Actinopteri; Anabantiformes; Osphronemidae
Exons: 2
Source: RefSeq, a predicted model, not a curated record
CACCGUGUGGCCGUCCUUGGCUUUGUACUCGAACUCAUACUGCACCAACACCAGCUCCAUGCUCCAGCCGGCUCCUCUGUGGCUCCUGGGUCAAGGCGCUGUGAACAUCCUGGAGCUGCAAAUAGAGGAAAUAUUCCUGGCGUCUCAGGCCCAAAUACAGCACAUCGCGUUUAGACCAAGCGCGGCGUCAGAUUCGAGCCGGGUCUGAACUAAAAGGGUGCCAGAGGUACAAGCCUGCACACAGGAAGUCGCUUCCAUUUCUGCAAAACAAAGGCGCAACCAAAGCUCACUCACCGACCACUGAAGCUGCAGACUGAAGCGCUGCUCAGCCGCAAGACAGGAAGCCGGACGAACCCCCGGCGCAGCGUCAGCCUGAUGUCACCUGCCAAUCUCAGUUUGCCAUGAGAGGAGGGCUCAUCCACGCAGCGCUCGAGGCUUCACGGCUCCGUCGUGAACUACGGCACACAAGUAACAACAGGAUGUCACGGUCGGCAGCUGUUCAGUACACAAACACUCCUUUUUGCUCAUUAGUUUAAAUGGUUCUACUGAACUUACACCAACAGUCUGGUUUGGACACACGUUCUCAUUUUAAUGGUUUUUCCUGAUAUUUCAUGAGCCUAAAAAUAACGAAUGAACCUGACAGGCGCCGGUGAACGAAUUGACGACCUCAUGAAGCUGAAGGGAGAAUGAGGAGUGGGUGUAAAGCAGUAACGAAAGCAAAACGUCUAGCUAAAAUAUAAAAGGAGUUAAUUCACACUCAUUUCUUCACUGCACAAUUCAUGUGUUCAUUCAUCAAUUUGAUGUCUUUAGUGAGAAUCUACAAUGUCAACAGUGAUGAAAAUAAAGAGUUUGACUGGUAGAGAACAUGCUGAAAUGCAUGUUUACAAAGAAAAUGACGAAACAGAAAAUUAACCAAUAUAUGAAUGACUUCACUAAGUUUCCACAUCUUAGUUCUAAAACCAAAUUAAAUUGUUCAAAUAUUGGAAGGUACGUUUUCUGAAUGUGAAAGACUUCAAAUAUGAGCACAAACUCACCAAUGAGGAAAAACUCACAUCCUGCUACUUCAUAUCCUCAGGUUUAAUAGUUUGUGUCCUUGGGCGACUUAUUUAGUAAAUUCCUCGUCUGUCAGGCGACCGUGAAGCGGAUUGACUCUCGGCUCACGCUGCUGCUGCUGCUGCUGCUGCUGCUGCUGCUGCCAGAUCCACUGCCUCGCUUCUAUUUCCUGUUCUCAGCAAGCGGUUGUUGAACCAAGAGAGGCCGAUGAGGCAUGGCAGGACUGAAACACAAGAAAUGGGAAGUCUGAAUAUAACCAUACUUCCCAAUGCGUCGUCAAUACUGUUUUUAUACACAGAGCGGACAGAGGGUGGACUGGAAAGAGCGGUGACUCGUUGGGACAUCAUGGUAUCACCAAACAAGAGUUAAAGGGGCAACAGAAUGCUGGGAGGAAAAUAGAACAUGACUAAUGUGGCUGCAGGACGUGUAUAUGGAGAUAGAUAUUAAUAGAAGGCUAAAAGUGACACAUCAUAAUAGGAUUACAUGAAAAUAGUAAUAAACAAUAUAUAGUACAUCAGCGAUUUCCUCUUGUUCUCACUGGAAACGUCCCACUUCAAGCGGCACACACAAGUUUUGUUCCAACUAUCUCUGGACCGAGGCCACGUGUUAAAUGUCAUUAACAAGUUUCAGGGUGGACCCUCGCCUCACGGACUCCACGUCUCACUUCCUUAACUCACAGGAGCAGAAAUAAUCCACCGGCCGCAUCUCACUUUGAACACACAUGAAGUUUAUUGGCAACGCCGCAAGUUCCUUUUUUUGUAUAUUGUAUUUAUAUUUGCAAAAUGACAGAAGUGAACUUGAAUAUUUUCACCUGCAUAAAUUACAAAUUCUACAGUUUAUCACUUUUGUACAAAAGGGAUGUUACAGUCGUUA